UAGAUUGGGACCUUACUGUAAUCAGCCCAUCACGGGAAAGGGUGUCACACUGAACUUAUGACAAGCUUAGCCAGCAGCAAGUAUCAGCACAGGCAGCUAAGUGGCUACACAGAGAAAAGGGCAACUCAACAAGGGCAGGAAAGGAUACAGAGAGGCCAAGUCAGCCAGAAUGGAGCUUUGAGGAGUGAGAGAGAAAAUCCUUGCAAAGAAAGGUAACAAGCAGCUGGGUUUUGAAAGGCCUUCGCAGACAGUGGGAGCCAUUAAAGUCACCAGAGGAGAUUCACGUGGUCGAGUCACCACUUUGGAAGAUUCAACUGGCAGAGACAUAUAGGAAGGAUUGCAAGGAAUAAAACAAGGAUUGCAAGAAAUACAGGAAGGAUUGCAAGAAAUAAAAAUCAAGCUCAAUGCUGCUCGUAGAGACACAGAAGGAGUGGGUGAGACUAAGAUGCUUCAUGUGGACAUGGUUGCUGAGGACACCCAGCUGCUGGUAUUCAGCAGUUAACUGGGGCUACAGUCCAGCAGCCCCCACAGCAGUGGGCACAGUCAGCAGCAAUCCGGGUGUCAGCCCCUCUCUGCAAGGAUUGGGGGCCAGAUGCUCCCUCCCUGGAAGCCACAUCAACGACAGACCACUGCUCUACUGAGAAUUCAAUAAAGACUUUUUACAGAACAUUA
Molecule: long non-coding RNA, 672 nt
Organism: Homo sapiens (human)
Lineage: Eukaryota; Metazoa; Chordata; Mammalia; Primates; Hominidae
Source: Ensembl